GAGAUAUUAGUAAAAAUUUUACGUGACUUUGUCGAAGUUAAAUUAUAGGUUAAAGUCCUUUAUAUCUCU
RNAcentral lists this transfer RNA (69 nucleotides) under Scaptonyx fusicauda. Its description in RNAcentral is "tRNA-Asp". It matches the Rfam family "tRNA". From Rfam's summary of the family: Transfer RNA (tRNA) molecules are approximately 80 nucleotides in length. Their secondary structure includes four short double-helical elements and three loops (D, anti-codon, and T loops). Further hydrogen bonds mediate the characteristic L-shaped molecular structure. tRNAs have two regions of fundamental functional importance: the anti-codon, which is responsible for specific mRNA codon recognition, and the 3' end, to which the tRNAs corresponding amino acid is attached (by aminoacyl-tRNA synthetases). tRNAs cope with the degeneracy of the genetic code in two manners: having more than one tRNA (with a specific anti-codon) for a particular amino acid; and 'wobble' base-pairing, i.e. permitting non-standard base-pairing at the 3rd anti-codon position. Lineage: Eukaryota; Metazoa; Chordata; Mammalia; Eulipotyphla; Talpidae. The record is from RNAcentral.